RNAcentral lists this non-coding RNA (20 nucleotides) under Mus musculus (house mouse). Lineage: Eukaryota; Metazoa; Chordata; Mammalia; Rodentia; Muridae. The record is from RNAcentral.
UACUGAGCUGAAAUGUGCCG